RNAcentral lists this ribosomal RNA (506 nucleotides) under uncultured bacterium. RNAcentral describes it as "partial 16S ribosomal RNA". It matches the Rfam family "Bacterial small subunit ribosomal RNA", at positions 28 to 523 of the family's 1533-position model. The record is from RNAcentral.
GAUGAACGCUAGCUACAGGCUUAACACAUGCAAGUCGAGGGGUAACGAGAGGAAAGCUUGCUUUCCUUGUCGACGACCGGCGCACGGGUGAGUAACGCGUAUCCAACCUGCCCCCAACUAGGGAAUAACCUUGCGAAAGUAAGACUAAUACCCUAUAAUUUCCUCAGAUGUCAUCUGACGAGGAAUAAAGAUUUAUCGGUUGUGGAUGGGGAUGCGUCUGAUUAGCUUGUUGGCGGGGUAACGGCCCACCAAGGCAACGAUCAGUAGGGGUUCUGAGAGGAAGGUCCCCCACAUUGGGACUGAGACGCGGUCCAAACUCCUACGGGAGGCAGCAGUGAGGAAUAUUGGUCAAUGGGCGGAAGCCUGAACCAGCCAAGUAGCGUGCAGGAUGACGGCCCUAUGGGUUGUAAACUGCUUUUAUACAGGAAUAAAGUUAGCCACAUGUGGUUAUUUGUAGGUACUGUAUGAAUAAGGACCGGCUAAUUCCGUGCCAGCCGCCGCGGUAA